UACGGAGGGAGCUAGCGUUGUUCGGAAUUACUGGGCGUAAAGCGCACGUAGGCGGUCUUUUAAGUCAGGGGUGAAAUCCCGGGGCUCAACCCCGGAACUGCCCUUGAAACUGGGAGACUAGAAUACUGGAGAGGUGAGUGGAAUUCCGAGUGUAGAGGUGAAAUUCGUAGAUAUUCGGAGGAACACCAGUGGCGAAGGCGGCUCACUGGACAGGUAUUGACGCUGAAGUGCGAAAGCGUGGGGAGCAAACAGG
Molecule: ribosomal RNA, 253 nt
Filed under: uncultured bacterium
Lineage: Bacteria
Description: partial 16S ribosomal RNA
Rfam family: Bacterial small subunit ribosomal RNA
Source: RNAcentral